This 301-nucleotide ribosomal RNA is filed under the name uncultured bacterium. RNAcentral's name for it is "partial 16S ribosomal RNA". It matches the Rfam family "Bacterial small subunit ribosomal RNA", at positions 509 to 809 of the family's 1533-position model. The record is from RNAcentral.
CAGUAGCCGCGGGAAUACGUAGGUGGCUAGCGUUGUCCGGAAUUAUUGGGCGUAAAGGGCUCGCAGGCGGUUUCUUAAGUCUGAUGUGAAAGCCCCCGGCUCAACCGGGGAGGGUCAUUGGAAACUGGGAAACUUGAGUGCAGAAGAGGAGAGUGGAAUUCCACGUGUAGCGGUGAAAUGCGUAGAGAUGUGGAGGAACACCAGUGGCGAAGGCGACUCUCUGGUCUGUAACUGACGCUGAGGAGCGAAAGCGUGGGGAGCGAACAGGAUUAGAUACCCCGGUAGUCCCUGUCUCUUAUAU